Molecule: non-coding RNA, 85 nt
Organism: Pelobates cultripes (western spadefoot toad)
Lineage: Eukaryota; Metazoa; Chordata; Amphibia; Anura; Pelobatidae
Source: the annotation of a GenBank genome assembly
GCCCCUAUCCUUUGUGUUCAGUUGUCAUGAUCCCCCUGAAAACUGAGGAAGGGGGAUCAUGACAACUGCACACAAAGGAUAGGGG